Molecule: non-coding RNA, 105 nt
Organism: Limnohabitans planktonicus II-D5
Lineage: Bacteria; Pseudomonadati; Pseudomonadota; Betaproteobacteria; Burkholderiales; Comamonadaceae
Source: Rfam
GCCUUGUGCCUGAAAGGGCGACGGCUUAGCCGGAGCGAGAAGUCAGCAGAGGUCGUAGUAGCGGCAGUACGAGGCCCACAAGGCCGGAUGGAGACCGUGAAGGAC